UCCCUACGGGAGGCAGCAGUGGGGAAUAUUGCGCAAUGGGCGAAAGCCUGACGCAGCGACGCCGCGUGAGGGAUGGAGGUCUUCGGAUCGUAAACCUCUGUCAGCAGGGAAGAACGGUCACUGUGCUAAUCAGCAGUGAAUUGACGGUACCUGCAAAGGAAGCACCGGCUAACUCCGUGCCAGCAGCCGCGGUAAUACGGAGGGUGCGAGCGUUAAUCGGAAUUACUGGGCGUAAAGCGUGCGCAGGCGGUCCUGCAAGUCUGGAGUGAAA
Molecule: ribosomal RNA, 271 nt
Filed under: uncultured bacterium
Lineage: Bacteria
Description: partial 16S ribosomal RNA
Rfam family: Bacterial small subunit ribosomal RNA
Source: RNAcentral